AACGAACGCUGGCGGCAGGCCUAACACAUGCAAGUCGAGCGAACCCUUCGGGGUUAGCGGCGGACGGGUUAGUAACGCGUGGGAAUAUACCCUUUGGUACGGAAUAGCCUCGGGAAACUGAGAGUAAUACCGUAUGUGCCCUUCGGGGAAGGAUUAUCGCCAAGGAUUAGCCCGCGUUGGAUUAGAUAGUUGGUGGGGUAAGUGGCCUACCAAGUCUACGAUCCAUAGCUGGUUUGUAGAGGAUGAUCAGCAACACUGGGACGUGAGAUACUGCCCAGACACCUACGGGUGGCUGCAGUCGAGAAUCUUCGG
Molecule: ribosomal RNA, 312 nt
Filed under: uncultured bacterium
Lineage: Bacteria
Description: bacterial SSU rRNA
Rfam family: Bacterial small subunit ribosomal RNA
Source: RNAcentral